AGAGUUUGAUCAUGGCUCAGGACGAACGUUGGCGGCGCGCUUAAUGCAUGCAAGUCGAACGAGAACCAGUGAGUUCGUAAGAACCCGCUGGGGACAGUGGCGAACGGGUGCGUAACACGUGAGAAACCUGCCCUGGAGACCGGGAUAGCGCGGGGAAACCCGCAUUAAUACCGGAUACCUUCAUCGGACCGCAUGGUCUGAUGAAGAAAGGUCCGCCGCUCCAGGAUGGUCUCGCGGCCUAUCAGCUUGUUGGUGAGGUAACGGCUCACCAAGGCAGCGACGGGUAGCUGGUCUGAGAGGACGAUCAGCCACACUGGGACUGAGACACGGCCCAGACUCCUACGGGAGGCAGCAGCAGGGAAUAUUGCACAAUGGGCGAAAGCCUGAUGCAGCGACGCCGCGUGCGGGAUGAAGGCCUUCGGGUUGUAAACCGCUUUCAGGAGGAAAGAAAAUGACGGUACCUCCAGAAGAAGGCCCGGCCAACUACGUGCCAGCAGCCGCGGUAAUACGUAGGGGCCAAACGUUGUCCGGAAUUAUUGGGCGUAAAGAGCUCGUAGGCGGCUUGACAAGUCGGACGUGAAAACCCGGGGCUCAACCCCGGGACGCCGUUCGAAACUGUCAUGGCUAGGGUCCGGUAGAGGUGAGUGGAAUUCUAGGUGUAGCGGUGAAAUGCGCAGAUAUCUAGAGGAACACCAGUAGCGAAGGCGGCUCACUGGGCCGGUACCGACGCUGAGGAGCGAAAGCAUGGGGAGCAAACAGGAUUAGAUACCCUGGUAGUCCAUGCCGUAAACGUUGAACACUAGGUGUGGCGGACUUAUCCACGUCUGCUGUGCCGCAGCUAACGCAUUAAGUGUUCCGCCUGGGGAGUACGGCCGCAAGGCUAAAACUCAAAGGAAUUGACGGGGCCCCGCACAAGCGGCGGAGCAUGCGGCUUAAUUCGAUGCAACCCGAAGAACCUUACCUGGACUUGACAUCAUGGGUCUACCUGUAGAGAUACGGGGUGCUUUUGCGCCCAUGACAGGUGGUGCAUGGCUGUCGUC
Molecule: ribosomal RNA, 1040 nt
Filed under: uncultured bacterium
Lineage: Bacteria
Description: bacterial SSU rRNA
Rfam family: Bacterial small subunit ribosomal RNA
Source: RNAcentral